This 535-nucleotide ribosomal RNA is filed under the name Enterococcus sp. S123_ASV_20. RNAcentral's name for it is "bacterial SSU rRNA". It matches the Rfam family "Bacterial small subunit ribosomal RNA", at positions 998 to 1533 of the family's 1533-position model. The record is from RNAcentral. Lineage: Bacteria; Bacillati; Bacillota; Bacilli; Lactobacillales; Enterococcaceae.
CUCUAGAGAUAGAGCUUUCCCUUCGGGGACAAAGUGACAGGUGGUGCAUGGUUGUCGUCAGCUCGUGUCGUGAGAUGUUGGGUUAAGUCCCGCAACGAGCGCAACCCUUAUUGUUAGUUGCCAUCAUUUAGUUGGGCACUCUAGCGAGACUGCCGGUGACAAACCGGAGGAAGGUGGGGAUGACGUCAAAUCAUCAUGCCCCUUAUGACCUGGGCUACACACGUGCUACAAUGGGAAGUACAACGAGUCGCUAGACCGCGAGGUCAUGCAAAUCUCUUAAAGCUUCUCUCAGUUCGGAUUGCAGGCUGCAACUCGCCUGCAUGAAGCCGGAAUCGCUAGUAAUCGCGGAUCAGCACGCCGCGGUGAAUACGUUCCCGGGCCUUGUACACACCGCCCGUCACACCACGAGAGUUUGUAACACCCGAAGUCGGUGAGGUAACCUUUUUGGAGCCAGCCGCCUAAGGUGGGAUAGAUGAUUGGGGUGAAGUCGUAACAAGGUAGCCGUAUCGGAAGGUGCGGCUGGAUCACCUCCUUU